CGGGAAUGAGCUUUUUAAAGACAGAACACUUUUCACCCUCCCACAGAGCUUCCUCAGGUCCUCCCCCCUCAGUCAGUCGGCUACAAACCCCUGAAGGUGUAUUCUUCAGUCCUUUGUUCUCACUAAGGGUUUCUGUUUCUGUUUUGAGCGAGAAGACGAGUGAAGCUAAAGACUAGAGCUCUUUGGACAUGUCCGCUGCGGAGAGAAGAGGAGCCCCCCCCCCUCGGCGGGAACACCGAGCUUCCAUUAAUCAGGAUUCCAAGUAUCCGCGGAGGCUUCUGGCUCGUCCGCGACACCCGGCCGCCGCGAGCCCCCGGAGGCCCGACGGCCUCCGCCGCGCAUGCCACGCCGACAGGAGCCCAGUAUACGUGUCUUUUGUCAGCAAGGCCACCUUGUGGGAACGAGGACUCUGCCGCCAAACCGCCCACAAACGUCCAAACCACGGUCCCUUAUUGUGUCCACGGUUCUUGUCUCACAUGACCGCCCGCCCCGAGGACCUCAGGCCUCCUUGUGUCCCGAGCUCCGGGUCCAGACCGCUGCCCCCCCCUCGGGAGAAGACGGCGGUAACGCACGCCCUCGCUGCACCGAAGACACAAACGCUGGACGGUUUCUUCCGUCUCCAUCCAGACGGGAGAAGGAAAAGUGCGCCGAUGGCGGGAAGGCGCUCUGCUGCUGUUGUUGUUCCCUGUCCUCCACCCUCCGCUGCCCCACCGCCACGCACCGCCAACCCAACACCGCCCCGCCAAAACUCCCCGCACGGCGACUUCGAGAGGCGGCGAAGAAGCCGGUCGGCAUCUCCCUGCGACGAGCCACCUGCCCCGGGGGGGGGCGUUGAAGUCCGUGAGACGGCUCCGCGACCCGCCGCCGCGUCCCCCCACCCGGGCUGCCGGCUGCCUGCGGAGCCGAAUGGAUCGGAAGCGCCACCGCCGCCGGCGGCCUCCUCCUCCUCCUCCAUCUCACACGGGUCGCUCUCAGAUUUCAGCCGCCCACCGUCCAGCCGGUUCAGCCGCAGCACCGACCUCGCCAGCGGCCGGAGCAGCGUCCUGUCCGGCGAUCUCGGAGACUCGGAGCCAGGAGGCGGCGUUUGCUCCUCACCGCUCCAGCCUCGCCCGGUGACGGGGUCACCCUCGGCUCCUCGCCCUCCGCCGGCAUCCCACCCUCGCCAACCAUCCGCCGAUGCUUCGGCCACCCCUCUCCUCUACGAACCGCUAUUUGGGCAAACCCGACCCCUCUCGCCGCCGUCGACGUCAGGUGGGCUUCGUCAAUCAGAUAACCCUCCGAGCAGGAGCGAAAGCCCCGAUGCGACAAAGUAUCUCCAACCAGUUCCAUCAGAAGCUCCUGGUCCCCACCCAUCCAUGGCCUCCGACCGCGGCCUCGUCGGCCUGGCUUUCCCCUCCGCCACCUGGUCCUCCUGCCCGAGUCCGCAGAGGACCACUCCCCGCUCCUCGGGGUCAGGACCGGCUCCGACCCCUCCUGCGUCGGCGCCCCGUCUGGAGUCUCGUCGCUGGUCCCCGCUGCCUCCCAUCUCCCCUGUCGGAGGACGCUGUGGCACCGCAGCAUCCCGCUACUCCGAGCUCAGCUGCACUCAGUCCCGCGCGUUCGAUGAGCUGGAGGCCAUCGCCCCUCGCUCGCUGUCCUCCCCGUCUCUGGACCGGCUGUCGGACUCCUCCGGGUGCCCUUCACCUGACACAGAGCUGUCUCCGGGCCUGGCGGCGCUGACGGUGGGCUGUGACUCCGGGACCCUGGGCUCUCUGUCCCGGGUGCAGCUGCUCCUCCUGGACCGGCCGCAGCCCGACACCCGGCCGGGUCUGUUCGGCCCGGAAGAGGAGCUCUCGCCGGUGCAAGACUGGCCUCGUCUCGCGAUGCAACAUGAAGGUACCGUGCACAAAUAGACGUUUGAAUGAAAGAGAAGUCCCACAGCAUCAAAUCAAGCAACAGAUUUCACCGAAACACAAUUAAACCCGUUGAAUGGGGCUCCGACAUCCCGACCCGCACACUCCGCUCUGCAUCUCCCUCGCUGAGAGCAAAACACUCCACCAGAUCACGACUCUCCUGAAUGGUGCAACGAGCUCUCAGAAGACACCAGGACCUGCUGAGGGCCUUCACAUCUUCAGACUAGACUCUUUGGGGUUUGCAUCCUUAUGGUUGAAAUGCACUCAUUGUGGCGUGAGGCCCCGCACAGCUGGCGGCGUCUCUGAAAGGUGUGACUCCGCAGGGAAAGUCCACGAAAACAAAUCGGAGGGGUCCGAAGACGGUUUCUGGCUCUCCGUCUUCGUGGAUCAUCGACCCGGAGUCCAUCGCUCGCCAUGUUCAGAUCCGCCCUCUCCCCUUGCGUGUCCGAUCUCGGUUCCAGCGGAGGGGAAGGGGGCCCCGCCGAGGAGGAGGAGGAGGCCAAUUAUCCGGGAUGGGGGCAACAAGUCGAAUCCUCAGCCGCAGGACGGAGGCCCGCGAGCCUUGAUGGCAGAAGUGAGGAGAGGAAGCGGAGGAUGGAGGAGAGGAAAACAAAGGUGCUGAGCUUGCUCUCCAAGCUGCAGGACGACGGGCCGCGGCAGCCAAAGGGCCACCGGAGCUGCUCCAACUUCCAGGACUUUGACUUUUUGGCAAAGUAUUGCAUUUUCAGUCAGGAGAAGCUGGCCGAGUACAAAAGGGCUUUUGAAGCAGAGGACGCUGAUGAUGACGGCUACAUAUCCUGCCUUCAGGCUCUGCUCGCGCUCAAGAGCGUCAUCCCCGCGGAGCGGCUGUCCGACGAAGAAGAAAUCUACGUCUACAGGAUCUUAGAGAUGGUGGACUUCAGCGUGACAGAUGGGCUGGUGGACCUCCGGCUCUUUGCUGUGAUUGCGAGCCUGGCGCAGAAAGUGGCGGCCAUGGAUGAGUUCAUGCGAUCGCUAAUCACCGACAUGGACUUCCGCUCGUUAGAAGUGAGGCUCUUCAAAGCGAAGCAACUGUUCCUGUUCCUCAUGGAGGAGCAGCAAGGAGACGCCGGAGCCCAGCGGGGCUCCAUCAGCGCGGAGCAGCUCCUUCUGGAGCUGAAGGCCGGGGGCAUCCACCUGGAGCAGGAGGCGGCCGUGCGGCUGGAGCUGCAGCGCAUCCCCCCCCUGGACCUGCUGGACUUCCUGGCCUACCUGCCGCUCUUCAUGCUCAUUCACAAGUCGGUCAUCGCCAACCCUCUCAAUGACUCCGGCGACCUCUGACCUCGGCCCUUGGCACCUGGCGAAGCAGCGUCACUGCCGUUAAAUCCACCAACACGCAGGAACCCUUCAUUUAAUUUGUUUUGUUUUUACAUUACUAGUAAAGAUAAGUCUGGUUAUUAGCUAUUUAGUUAGCCUGGAAUGCUAACGUGCAGUUAGCUGCUAACUGCCAGCUCAGCACGUUGAGCGUUAUGAAACUUUUGCAACUUCUUUUCACAACCACUUGAUGUUUGUCUCAUUGAUUAAUAUAUUGUUCUGUGGUUCCUGUUAACGUUUCAUGGAGCUGUGAAGUGCUGUCUAUGGUCCUGAAAUGUUUCCGUAGAUGUUGCAGCCGUUUGAAAAAGCUUUAAACGCAUCAAAAAGUUGCAUUAAAUAAAAGCACCUCCAAACGGGGCGGGGCUCUCUUCUUUGGGGGGCGGGGCUCUCCUCUUCAGGGGGCGGGACUCACCUUAAAACGUUCAGAUGCAUCUGGGUGUUCUGGAGAAAACAACAUGUGAAACGCUGCGACUGCCGUGGUCUUCUAUCCAACUUAAUCAACACUGAUGAAUGAAACUCAAUGAGAUAUUCAACCAAUGAACUUUGAGCCAUUGUUUUGCCUCAGCUUUGCCAAUUAGAUAAGGCCCGUGUUCUCCUGAGGCUCAUGCACGCUCCACAGGCCGCCACAGAGGAGAAGGUAAUGGACUGUGACAGGGCAACAGACCCGGACUGCUAAAAUCCCAACAAACUAGAGAAAGAAUUUAUUCUAAAUAUUCUAAUCAAGUAUGGAUCACAAAACACUGAACUUAAAGGAGUCUUUAUGUUUUCAUUUUAGUAACUAAAAACAUUUAUUUAAGCACACUGAUUGGGAGGAAGACAUUCUCCAAAUACAAUCUCUCUCUGGAUUCCUCCUGUCUUGUCCUUCAAAAAAAUGAUUCCACAAAGUUUGAUACAAAUCUACUUUGUUAUAUUUAACAACAGAACAGAAGGAAUCCAGUAUAUAAUAUAAAUGACAUACUAAAAGUCUGUGGUUGUGUAUUUGGGCAUAGACGUUGUUGUUCGCAAUCGUUUUACCUCUUCUUUUAUUGGACAUUAUUUGGCAAGUUGUCUUUUAUUUGUUUAUCCAAAUCAAAUUUAGGAAUAAAAAAUGCUGACGAGACACGUUUUGUAGUUGAAGUUGUUACAUGUUUUAUAUUCACAUUUAGAAGUGAAGUCUUACAUUUUGAGUUUUUCAUAAUUCUGUUUCAAAUGAAAAAUAAACUUUUGUCUCUUCUG
Gasterosteus aculeatus aculeatus (three-spined stickleback) is the source of this 4439-nucleotide long non-coding RNA. NCBI's taxonomy places the organism in Eukaryota, Metazoa, Chordata, Actinopteri, Perciformes, Gasterosteidae. The record is from Ensembl.